RNAcentral lists this non-coding RNA (23 nucleotides) under Mus musculus (house mouse). The record is from RNAcentral. Lineage: Eukaryota; Metazoa; Chordata; Mammalia; Rodentia; Muridae.
GACAGCCUCGGUGUCCCAGCUGC